RNAcentral lists this long non-coding RNA (1319 nucleotides) under Heterocephalus glaber (naked mole-rat). RNAcentral describes it as "lncRNA (ENSHGLG00000049518.1)". Lineage: Eukaryota; Metazoa; Chordata; Mammalia; Rodentia; Bathyergidae. The record is from RNAcentral.
CAGGGCCUUGUAAUAUCUGUUCUCAAAGUCCUGAUGGGAGGUUCAGCUGUUGCCCCAGCUAUGAUUGGUAAAGGGAUAAUUUCUGCUUCAGGAGCUGGAGCUAACACUGACCUCAAUAUGACCAUGAAAGACACAAGAGGUCUCCUCCAAAGGCCCAUAAACAGAGCUAAGGGUUCUACAAGCAGCUUUCACUGGAGCUACAGGGGUUCUACUUGUCCAGGUUCCUGUCCCACUGCUGGCCUCCUGGACCUCCAGCCUCAGCUCAGCCUGGGCAGUCCUGCUGCUCCUCUCCCAAAGAGAAGAUGGAGACUGAGACCAACAGCUAGGUCCCUCCUGGCCCUGUGCUGUGUGUGUGGCUCCCACUAACCACCUUGUGUGCUUCCCUGCCUUGAGCCCUGGAGAUACAAAUAUAUGUAGCUAAUCACCUCUUUUCAGUCACUCAUUCAUUUAACAAAUUAUACAUUUGAUACAUACAUAUGAAGCAUUUGUUCAUCAUGUUAGGUCUUCCACCAUGGCAGGACAUGGGGAAUGUUGUAAACAUGACUUUGUCCUAGACCUCUAGGACCUUUCAGGCUCCCAAGAGCUUCAGCAGAUGUAUUCGCCGGGUUUUCCUCAUAGGCUAUUUAUGCAGAAAAGAGAGGUUUAUGCCUCUCAGUUUGGGGAGUUCAAAGCUAUGGCACCUCCAUUGGCUAAUAUAGUGUAAAAACUACAAUGAAAGCAUGGGUUGCAGUUAAGGACAAGGGGAGGGCUGGGAAGGAAAAUAAAGCACGUUAUUACAUGCAUGAAUACAAGGAAAAAAACUCAAUAUUCCCUAUCAUGAAUAUGCACUAAUAAAUUUGUUGGCAGAGUUUCAGAUUCCAUGCUGCAAAUAUAAAGAAAUGAACCCUGGAAUCUGUGCGUUGAGCUUCUCAGUAAAGAUGAGGGGCCGUUUGGGCAGUGGGAUCGAACUCAGCAGGCAGCCACUGAGCUAAAACCCCAGCCCUCUUUUUUUAUCUUUGCUGUUAGAGAUUUCUGGAUCUGCUAAGACCUUGCAUAAAAAAAAUAGUUAUACAGAUAUCCAAGGAUUACCAAACUCCCUUAAAAAGAGGACAAAAACUACUAGGCUGAAGACUUAUGUGAAACUUGCAAAUAAGAAUCUUAAAUUUCAGUAACAUAAAGAUUUUGUAAUUUAGGUUAAUAUGUAUGUUUCUGUGCAUUCAUUGUCAGGUAUAUUUUAUCCUUCAAAAGUUUAAGUUGGCUUAUAAACAAAUGAUGUAUAUUAACCCAAAUACUUUGUUCCCAUGACUUAAAGUGAGCUGGUUCAAAUUGGUUGGUAAGAU